CCAAAGGGUUUUCUAAAAACCAUCUUGGUUAUAAAACAGAUUUUGU
Molecule: non-coding RNA, 46 nt
Organism: Pongo abelii (Sumatran orangutan)
Lineage: Eukaryota; Metazoa; Chordata; Mammalia; Primates; Hominidae
Source: Rfam